CUCGCACCCAACCCGGUUUCGAAACUGAUGGAAUUCCGGCGUUCCAAGCUGUUUUUCAGGUGAAUUUCACCCCAUUUCCACCUGCAAUCAUCACCAUACCUCUUCCCCUUCAUUCUUCUAUCAAGAUUUGAUGGAAAUUGGGUCAAAUUCGUGACUUUUGGCAAUGGUGACACUGACGGGUUUUGUGUUAAUUCCCCAUUUCUAAAGCAAUUUCUUCCAAUUGUCACCACCCAUAUACUUCCCUUGAGGCCUAGAGCAAUGCCUAAUCAUUGGUUGGAACGUCGGAGUCGAAUUGGCGACGAAUCAAGAACACCCAUUUCUAGGGUUCCGAUAGGUUUUGAUGAAAUUGGAGCCUUUCCAGGCCAAAUUGGCCUUGGUCACAGGUAUGAAGUUGUUCUACUCAUUUAGAUCUUCAAAUCUACAAAUUUUGGUAAUUUUUAGAGAUAGUUGAUUUUUCCGGCUA
Molecule: long non-coding RNA, 463 nt
Filed under: Malus domestica (apple)
Lineage: Eukaryota; Viridiplantae; Streptophyta; Magnoliopsida; Rosales; Rosaceae
Description: long non-coding RNA (MDOM_LNC001639)
Source: RNAcentral